RNAcentral lists this long non-coding RNA (1269 nucleotides) under Anas platyrhynchos platyrhynchos (common mallard). Its description in RNAcentral is "lncRNA (ENSAPLG00000024131.1)". The record is from RNAcentral. Lineage: Eukaryota; Metazoa; Chordata; Aves; Anseriformes; Anatidae.
AGCCUUUGCCACUACUCAGGCAUCUCUCUUGAGCCAAAGGAAAUCUCUCCUUAGUUUGCUUCAGCAAGUAGGGUGACAGAGCUCUGUAGGUGGGCCAACGUACUGAAAACCUGUCAAAAGUGGUAGUAUUUUCAGAGAUGCAGAGCUGUUCAAGCUAGAAAUAAGUAGCAGGUCUCAACUCUUUCCUUUCUUAAAGGCAACUUCUGUGUUCAACCAGGCAGCUCUACAAUUUCCAAAGCUAGCAAAACCUGAUCUAAAGGCAGAGAUCAAAUCUCCAGCAAGAAGGCAAUCACUACUGGAACACACAGAUGAGAGACAGUAGAUUCACCAUUGUUUGUGAUCUUUUUCUUGCAGUUGGAUGACGUUCCUUGUGAUAAGCUGGUGCUAAUCGGAAUUGUUUGCCAGGUGUAAGAUGUGCCAAGUGGUAUCCUCUGGUCUGCAUUACACAAGAGAGUACAAAUACUCUGUUCUGCCUCUGGCAUCCACAAAUCUCUGAAACCCUGUAAUGGCCUUGUGGGCUGUGGCUUAUGGUGUGUGACAGAUAUGAUCACUAGGAACCAAGUGACCUCCUGGGGAAAGUUUGGAUGCUUGUGUGCAUUUGCUUGGAUGCAGAUUAAAUAUUGGUCAUGAAAAAUGCACCCAGAGAAUGUGCGCUAGUGAGCUUUGCAAUAGCCAGCUUGAAAUAUGGAAAAUGAUUCAGAAACUGCCAAAAGUUGGCUUCUUCUCCCUUUUUGAUCUUUGGCUUCACUGUACCUUGCUCUUGUGAGGAAAGAACACAAGGCUGUCUGCUAGCUUUGUUAAACAAUUCCAACCUUCUUCUCUUCAUACGCAAAAUGUUUAUAAUCCUCCUGCCCUCUCUUGUCUCCCAGAACAUCUUUGUCCUUUAGCUCCAAUGGACCAGUUUCCAACAUUUCGACUCGGCACUCUGAAGCCUCCCCUGAAUUUAAGCCAUGCGCUCUGCAGCACCAAUUGGGCUGAGCAAGUUCUCCCCACCCUUCCGCGGGCCCUUCGGCUACACGUGCGUGGCUUCACCUGCGGCAGCUCCCAGGACAGGCUGGCUCAGCUCCUGCGAGCAGAGGAUGGCAGUUCCUUCAGACAGGCACGUGGUGGCAAGAUCUGGGGUUCGGUUUCCUCGUCCUACACAAAGAAAGCUUCUUGAGUUCGGACUCCUAGCCACUACCGGUAGGUCCUGCCUUGCUCAGCUGUCGUCGUCUCAGUGUGGUUUCGCCAGGUGGGGUGGGAAGGUGGGUGGGAGGGGAGGAGCUGGAG